RNAcentral lists this ribosomal RNA (254 nucleotides) under uncultured bacterium. Its description in RNAcentral is "partial 16S ribosomal RNA". It matches the Rfam family "Bacterial small subunit ribosomal RNA", at positions 524 to 776 of the family's 1533-position model. The record is from RNAcentral.
UACGUAGGGUGCGAGCGUUGUCCGGAAUUAUUGGGCGUAAAGAGCUUGUAGGCGGUUUGUCGCGUCUGCUGUGAAAAUCCGGGGCUCAACCCCGGACUUGCAGUGGGUACGGGCAGACUAGAGUGUGGUAGGGGGAGACUGGAAUUCCUGGUGUAGCGGUGGAAUGCGCAGAUAUCAGGAGGAACACCGAUGCGAAGGCGGCUCUCUGGGACGGUACUGACGCUGAGACGCGAAAGCGUGGGGGAGCGAACAGG